RNAcentral lists this ribosomal RNA (333 nucleotides) under uncultured eukaryote. RNAcentral describes it as "partial 18S ribosomal RNA". It matches the Rfam family "Eukaryotic small subunit ribosomal RNA", at positions 1470 to 1796 of the family's 1831-position model. The record is from RNAcentral.
CCCUUAGAUGUCCUGGGCUGCACGCGCGCUACACUGAUGUGUCCAGUAAGCACCUAACCUAUUCCGAGAGGAGCGGGUAACCUUAGCAAAGCACAUCGUGAUGGGGAUAGAUUAUUGCAAUUAUUAGUCUUGAACGAGGAAUUCCUAGUAAGCACAAGUCAUCAGCUUGUGUUGAUUACGUCCCUGCCCUUUGUACACACCGCCCGUCGCUCCUACCGAUUGAAUGGUUUAGUGAGAUCUUCGGAUUGGCGCCACUGCGGCUCAGCAAUGGGCUCGGUGGAUGCCGAAAAGUUGAUCAAACUUGAUCAUUUAGAGGAAGUAAAAGUCGUAACA